GACAGAGGGUGCGAGCGUUAAUCGGAAUUACUGGGCGUAAAGCGCGCGUAGGCGGCUUGUUAAGUCGGAUGUGAAAUCCCUGGGCUCAACCUAGGCAUUGCAUUCGAUACUGGCAAGCUAGAGUAUGGGAGAGGAAGGUAGAAUUCCAGGUGUAGCGGUGAAAUGCGUAGAGAUCUGGAGGAAUACCGAUGGCGAAGGCAGCCUUCUGGCCUAAUACUGACGCUGAGGUGCGAAAGCAUGGGGAGCAAACAGG
RNAcentral lists this ribosomal RNA (253 nucleotides) under uncultured Alkanindiges sp. Its description in RNAcentral is "partial 16S ribosomal RNA". It matches the Rfam family "Bacterial small subunit ribosomal RNA", at positions 524 to 776 of the family's 1533-position model. The record is from RNAcentral. Lineage: Bacteria; Pseudomonadati; Pseudomonadota; Gammaproteobacteria; Moraxellales; Moraxellaceae.